This 72-nucleotide transfer RNA is filed under the name Cryptocephalus ramburii. RNAcentral's name for it is "tRNA-Lys". Lineage: Eukaryota; Metazoa; Arthropoda; Insecta; Coleoptera; Chrysomelidae. The record is from RNAcentral.
CAUUAGAUGGCUGAAAGUUUAAGCAAUGGAAUUUUAAAUCAUCUUAUAGUAAUUAACGACUACUUCUAAUGA